RNAcentral lists this ribosomal RNA (599 nucleotides) under Alestopetersius hilgendorfi. RNAcentral describes it as "partial 16S large subunit ribosomal RNA". It matches the Rfam family "Bacterial large subunit ribosomal RNA", at positions 1809 to 2608 of the family's 2925-position model. Lineage: Eukaryota; Metazoa; Chordata; Actinopteri; Characiformes; Alestidae. The record is from RNAcentral.
AAAAACAUCGCCUCCUGCAAAACCCCUUUAACGUAUAGGAGGUCUUACCUGCCCAGUGACAUUAAUGUUAAACGGCCGCGGUAUUUUGACCGUGCUAAGGUAGCGCAAUCACUUGUUUUUUAAAUGAAGACCUGUAUGAAUGGUGAAACGAGGGCUUAACUGUCUCCCCCUCCCAGUCAAUGAAACUGAUCUGUUCGUGCAGAAGCGAACAUAAACCUACAAGACGAGAAGACCCUUUGGAGCUUAAGACACAAGGCCAACUGUUCCUAACCCCCUAAGUUAAAUAGGAAAAAACGAAACAUCACCUGGCCAAAGUCUUCGGUUGGGGCGACCGCGGGGAAAAACAAAACCCCCACGUGGAAUAGACCACUCUCUUAACCCAAGAGAAAUACCUCUAAGUCACAGAACAUCUGACCAUACUGAUCCGGCUAAUAAGCCGAUUAACAAACCAAGUUACCCUAGGGAUAACAGCGCAAUCCCCUUCAAGAGUCCCUAUCGACAAGGGGGUUUACGACCUCGAUGUUGGAUCAGGACAUCCUAAUGGCGCAGCCACUAUUAAGGGUUCGUUUGUUCAACGAUUAAAGUCCUACGUGAUCUGG